This 849-nucleotide ribosomal RNA is filed under the name human gut metagenome. RNAcentral's name for it is "bacterial SSU rRNA". It matches the Rfam family "Bacterial small subunit ribosomal RNA", at positions 666 to 1520 of the family's 1533-position model. The record is from RNAcentral.
UGUCCUAGUGUAGCGGUGAAUGCGUAGAUAUUACGAUGAAACCAGUGGCGAAGGCGGCUUUCUGGACUGAAACUGACGCUGAGGCUCGAAAGCGUGGGGAGCAAACAGGAUUAGAUACCCUGGUAGUCCACGCCGUAAACGAUGAGUGCUAGGUGUCGGGGAGGAAUCCUCGGUGCCGCAGUUAACACAAUAAGCACUCCACCUGGGGAGUACGACCGCAAGGUUGAAACUCAAAGGAAUUGACGGGGGCCCGCACAAGCGGUGGAGCAUGUGGUUUAAUUCGAAGCAACGCGAAGAACCUUACCAAGGUUUGACAUCCCGCUGACGUAUUCAGAGAUGAGUAUUUUCUUCGGAACAGCGGAGACAGGUGGUGCAUGGUUGUCGUCAGCUCGUGUCGUGAGAUGUUGGGUUAAGUCCCGCAACGAGCGCAACCCUUAUCAUUAGUAGCCAGCAUUUAGGAUGGGCACUCUAAUGAGACUGCCGUGGAUAACACGGAGGAAGGUGGGGAUGACGUCAAAUCAUCAUGCCCCUUAUAUCUUGGGCUACACACGUGCUACAAUGGCCGGUACAAAGAGAAGCGAGACCGCGAGGUGGAGCAAAACUCAUAAAACCGGUCCCAGUUCGGAUUGUAGUCUGCAACUCGACUACAUGAAGCUGGAAUCGCUAGUAAUCGCAAAUCAGAAUGUUGCGGUGAAUACGUUCCCGGGCCUUGUACACACCGCCCGUCACACCAUGGGAGUUGGAAGCACCCGAAGUCUGUGACCCAACCGUAAGGGAGGAGCAGCCGAAGGUGAAGCCAGUGACUGGGGUGAAGUCGUAACAAGGUAGCCGUAUCGGAAGGUGCGGCUG